UACGUAGGGGGGCUAGCGUUGUCCGGAAUCAUUGGGCGUAAAGAGCGCGUAGGCGGCCAGAUAAGUCCGGUGUGAAAGUCAAAGGCUCAACCUUUGAAUGCCGCUGGAAACUGUCUGGCUAGAGUCCGGGAGGGGCGAGUGGAAUUCCUGGUGUAGCGGUGAAAUGCGCAGAUAUCGAGAGGAACACCUGCGGCGAAGGCGGGUUGCUGGGCUGAUACUGACGCUGAGGCGCGAAAGCCAGGGGAGCGAACGGGG
RNAcentral lists this ribosomal RNA (255 nucleotides) under uncultured bacterium. RNAcentral describes it as "partial 16S ribosomal RNA". It matches the Rfam family "Bacterial small subunit ribosomal RNA", at positions 524 to 777 of the family's 1533-position model. The record is from RNAcentral.